GGUGGGAUACCGGUGGCCCUGACUGAAGACCAGCAGUUAUGCUAUAGCUGUUGGUUUCGAGCAGAGGCCCAAAGGACUGUCUUCCCA
Molecule: microRNA precursor, 87 nt
Organism: Equus asinus (donkey)
Lineage: Eukaryota; Metazoa; Chordata; Mammalia; Perissodactyla; Equidae
Source: Ensembl